Long non-coding RNA from Glycine soja, 2504 nucleotides. RefSeq lists it as uncharacterized. The transcript is spliced from 2 exons. The record is from RefSeq and is a predicted model, not a curated record. Lineage: Eukaryota; Viridiplantae; Streptophyta; Magnoliopsida; Fabales; Fabaceae.
AAAGAUUAAGAGAAGUGAUGGAUGAUCUUAUUGGCCCAAUCCAAUGUAGUUUUGUUCUAGGGAGACAAAGGCGGGAUAAUAUUAUUAUUGUUCUAAGAAAAAGGAAAAAGGUGAUAAAGGAUGGAUGACUAUUAAAAUUGAUUUGGAGAAGGCUUACCAAAGGAUGAGAAGAGAGUUUAUUAAGGAUACUUCGAUUGAUGUAGGGCUACCAAAUUCUUUUGCGAACAUGGUGUGGUUUUGUAUCUCUACUCUAUCUAUAAAAGUCCUUUGGAAUGGUGAGGUUUUGGAUGAUUCCUUUAGGCCGACUAGAGGGAUUUGUCAAGGAUGGAUUGUUCGUGAGAAGAUUAGUGAUGCUUUUCCAACAUACGAAUAAGCUUGGCAAAUAUUUGGGAGUGCAAUUACAUCAUGAGAGAGUGUCCAGAUCUACCACAAGGAGUGUCAUUGAGAAAAUGAAAAGAAGGCUUAGGUCAUGGAAGGUUAGAAUGUUAUCCUUUUCUGGUAGGCUAACUCUUAACUAGAUUUGUGCUUACUGUAAUGCGCUCCUAUGCUAUGCAAUCUGUUUUCCUUCCUCAAAGUGUAUUUGAUGAGAUUGGUCAGGUUUGUAAGAACUUUUUGUGGGGUGAUAUUGAUCAUAGUAGGAGUAUGCAUUUGGUGUCUUGGAACCAGGUGUGUAAACCCAAAUAUGUUGGAGGGUUGGGAAUUAGAAAGGCUCGUCGUGUAAAUGAUAGUUUCAUGUAUAAAAUUGUCUAGGAUCUUUGUACUAAAAACUCUCAUUUAUGGGUGAAGGUAGUUAGAUAGAAGUAUGGUUGUGGAGAGGAUAUUGUUCCCCUUAUUAAUAGGAACAAGGUUGGUUAAAAUGUUUGGGCUGGAGCUCGGUGCAGAACAAUAUUAGAUGGAGGGUAGGGGAUGGUCAUGAUGUGCUUUUUUGGAUUGAUAGUUGGGUUCUUGGUGUUGGGUCCUUGCUGGGUAAGCAAAUAAGCACCUUGGGUAAUCAAGAUUUGACUAUGAACGUAAGUGAUUUUGUGGGGGAAGAUGGUAGAUGGGAUAUUAAUCUCAUGCUACAAUUCCUUCCCAGUUCUAUGUGUGCGAGUAUUUGCAGUUUGACUCCCCCUAAUUUUGAGCAAGGAAGAGAAAAUAUCUAGGAAAAGCACGAAUGAUGGUAUAUUCUCGAUGCAUUUUGCUUAUAGUUACCAGGUAUUCACAAUGGAGCCACUGAAGAUUCCCCUGUUCAAUUCAAUACGGCGUUGGAAAGGUCCGGAGAGGAUAAGGGGCUUACUUUGGAACAUAGGGAAGAAUUGUCUCAUGACUAAUUACAAAAGGUGGAGAAUGGGCAUUGCUAUUGUUGCAACAUGUCCAAUUUGUCAGAACCAAGAGGAGUCCAACAUGUCCAAAUUGUCUCAUGACUACCACUAGCUCGGUCCCUUGUAUAUGGCAAAGCUUUUUACCCCCAUCAGUUUUAGCUACUUUUUUUGCAGGUGACAUCCAUUUUUGGAUGCAAAGAAAUCUUGACAAAGUGUUAUCUGGUGUGUAAAAUUUAUCAAAGUUAUCAAACUUAUGUGUAAGUUUGAUGAACUUGUCUUGAAAGAAAUAAAAGAGUACAAUCAAAAUGUGAACAAAAAUUUAAGAAGUUGAAUGCGGUAUGGAAAGAACAAAAAUACAAUUAUUUAGUAAAAAUUACUUAAUUUGUUAUAAAAAUAUAUUCCUUCCGAGGAGUAAGUACAAUUUUUAUGACUAACACAAAGGUCACCAAGUGCAACAUGAGUGGUCCCAAAUCUUUGGGAUGGUUCUUGAUCACUUGUGGCGUAGAAGGAAUAAUUUCGUGCUUUAGAAUACUUUGACUUCUCCAACCAUUAUCUCAAUCCAAGUGGAGUGUUCUUUAAGGUAUUGGAAAGCUUCAGUGGGGUUGAAGGAUGAUUUUAGCAUUGGCCCUGACUCUAUAAACCAUUCGUCUAUCCAUUCUUGGGGUUCAGCAAGCUUAGGUAGAAUCAAGGUCAAUAUCGAUGGUGCAAUUCGGAUUAGAGAUCAUCUUGCGACAUGUGGUGGAGUUGCUAGGAAUCAUCACUAUGGGCGUUGUAUGUAUAGGUUUAUGAUUCAUCUUGGGAAUGUUCAUGUGAUCUUUGAGGAACUCUGGGUUAUUUUUCAUGGUCUCAAACUAGCUUUGGAUAGAGGACAGUGGAGUCUGAUGCUUUCAAUUUGGUGAAUGACAUUCGAAAUAUGGCAAAGCUUCCUCUAAGGUUCUUGCUGCUUCAUAUCUCCAGGGAUAACAACUUAGUGGUUAAGGAAGCCUUCUCUUCCAAUGAUCCUUCUUGUGUACACACUAGUUCCCCAUUGAAGCGUGGCGCGAGACUUCUUAUGGAAACAACACUAGUUUAACUGCUUGUUGUCUUUAUUUGAACUAGCCAAAACAAAGCGUGCUGCAUCCGCAUUUCUACUCUACUGUCAUAUUUUAUUAUUGUGGUAAAAUUUAUAUAUUUAAAUAAUAUAUUUUAUUAACUGUAAAUUCA